Molecule: unclassified non-coding RNA, 1051 nt
Filed under: Hevea brasiliensis (rubber tree)
Lineage: Eukaryota; Viridiplantae; Streptophyta; Magnoliopsida; Malpighiales; Euphorbiaceae
Source: RNAcentral
CCCCAGUAUGUUUUCCGAAUAUCUUACAACUCUACUGCAAAUGGUAGGAUAUUAUAAUAUUUAUACUGGACCAAAAAUCUCACUUUUUAUCCUAAUCAGGCAUAGCACGAAAUUUUCGGAUCGGGUCACAAUUCGGAUCCAUGAAAAAUAUAUCCAAAAUUCAAGCCACAAAAUAUAACAAUUUGAAAUAUUACUUGCUAUAUGAUACUAAUUAACCAAACAUUUCCAUUCACAAAUCACCCACAACUUAUAAAAGGGUUGAAACAAAACACAAUAUAUAAGGGAGAUUCUGGAGGUGUUUGUGCCUCCCUCUGUAUAAUACAUAAAGAAAAUGCUGUGGAGAAAUUGUAAUAAGUGGCUUUAGGGUAUAACUUGGAUGAUGAGUCCAGAACAGUCAAUGAUGCUUUGCAGCGGCCGCCGGCGGGCACUGGUAGCACUUGGCAAAGAGACCAAAUGUGUCAACUUGCUUGAUAAAAUUGGUCACACUGGCCCACCCUCCUAAUCCAAAGCCAACAACAAGGACCCAGAUCACAACAAAUGCAUUCACUAUAUACAUGGCUGUCCAGCUAGGGAGGAAAAAUGGAGGCUUCUCCGCUGCAUUCUGUCGAGCAGAGGCAGAUCGAAAAGUGAGCAUAUGAGCUAAAGCAGGGAUGACGUAGACGGUGAAGCUGACCAAAAGAGCCCCCACAGCUGAGUUAAUGGGGCCAAAGAAAGGAAAUAUAAUAGCCAAGAACCAUAUAGGUAUAACUACAGGCAACCUGGUUAAUGCCCUUAAAAAUAUGCUCUUGGUAUCAUGCAUCCCUACCACUUUCUCCCACACAAAAUACAGUGGUGUGCAUGCAAAUCCGAAUGUUAUGAACUGAUGGAUGAGCAUGAGGAUAACUGCAGCAUCUCGCCACCUGGAACGGGGAAGAAGGGAGAAGGCAUUCGAGUGGUCGAGGAGUUGAUCGCCAAAUGCCCAGUAGACAGCAACAGCUGAUGGAAUUGUUAAGGUGAACACAUAUAGGGCGGCUAGGAAAUAUAUGUACUUGAAUUUCUGAGGCUUCCACAU